GGCUAGGCCCGGAGGCUGCGCCGUCAGUCAAGCGAACCGCAGAGUCCGCGCCCACUGCCUGCGUCAUAAUCCAGCGUCAUAAUCCAGCGCUAGAGACGCUCCCCAUGUCGUCAUCACCCAUGGUUGCCAUGGUUUCCGCCCACCUCCUCAGCUUACUCUAGCUUCGUGCCACCCCGUGGCGCAUGCGCUUUUCGGUAGCCGCGCUUUCCGGCGUUGGAGUUGCAGCUUCACCCUCGCAGAUUCGGCUUAGCGAGCGAGUCGGUGCUUCCGCGGAUCAAAAUUAUUAGCCGUUUUAUUAGAGCCCAUUAAACGUUGCAUAAACAUGGUUCAGAGCUGCCUGGGAGAAGAAAAGCCAAAGGAUGCCACCCUCUCGAUUUAUCCCACCCUCGGGAGUCUGAAAGCCGACGCCAGGAGAAAUCCCGCGAAGGCCGCCCGGGAUCCUGGUAGAGGCGACGCUGUGUGCGUUUAUGGAGCGCUUGCGGUGCGUGGCACUAGGCUGGGUGUGGUGGGUGCUGCCGAAAAAAGGGUUCCUCCCAUCCAUUUGCACGUCACCCUUCCCACCUCCUGCCCAGAUGGACAGAAGUGAGGACAUUCAUCGGCCGCAUUUUACUAAUGGCAAGGAGAUAGCGACUGAAGGGCAAGAACCUAGGGUUUCCUGUCUUUGAUAUUUCUCAUCUUUGAGGUAAGUACACCUGGACAGUCCCUUCCUUCCUCCUCAGGGCUCAUGCUUUCUUGCCUAUCCGUGUAAUUAAUAUGAUCUGGCUAUCUUUGUCUUUGUUCCGAAACUUCAGCUGCAAAUGAAAGUGUAAGUUAGGUCUGAGUCUGCACUAUAGACCUAGCUAUCCUAGGUUAAAGGGGAUAAAAUAGGAAUCAAGAAGCCUGGCCCGCUUGGGCUCCCAGCUCAAGUGCAUUCUGCAAUCCAGUUUAUAUUAGGCCUCCAUGUGGGUGGCUAUCCUUUAUCAAGAUCCCCCCCAGGGGGAGGAGGAUUAUUAGUCACAUUAUCAAACUCCCCUCCAACCCCUUUCUCUGCUUAGAGGUAUGUGUAAUGUGUAGUAGAAAGACCGAAUCCCCACCCAAAAGUCCUUACUGCUACUCAUGUUUUUAACCUUCUGUUCUUUACCCUACUCCCUAAUAAUGACCGCCAUCAUUUAUCUACUGCUUAAUGGAUACUAGGCACUGUGCUAAGGGUUUUAUGUUUUACUUCAAUCUUUUCAUCGGCUUUAUUUUGAUAGUUUGUUUUAUAGAGGAGGAAACAGACUUAGGUAAGUUACAAGAUGACAAGGUUACUACCUUGUUCAGUUAGUAGUCAGCAGCUAGUAUAUCCAAAGAUAGUACGAGUCAGAACUAGGAUUAUAAACUCAGGGCUACCUGAAACUCACAACUUCAGGCAUCUUUGAUUUCUUCUUUUCACCCACAGCCAAUUCUUCAACUAAAUUGUAUCCAUUCUGUUUUCACCGUCUCUUGUACUGGUCUCCUUUCUAUUGUAACUGUCAUCAUCCUAACUCAAGAUCCUUCUGUAGCUUUCCCCGGUUAUUGGAAUAUCCUUAUUACGACUGCCACCUUUUCUAAUCCAGUCUGUUUACUACUGCCGGGUUAAUUUCCCCAAACUGCAUGUCUGGGGAAUAACCUUGUGGUUAUGACAGAAUUCCCAAAGGAAAGCAAACUUGGCAAGGUGCAAAGACUAUGAAGACUUAGAACUUAAGAGUUCUAUGGAGAUCUUCAGAAAUAUAAAUUAGCUACUCAACAUAUCUGUUAUUCUGCCCUGAUUGCACUGUAAAGCAAAAGGAGAGAGGCCAUUAUGGGGAAAAAGAUCCAAAAGGACUCAUCUAAAACACAAGUUGGGUAGAGGAGAUAGGUGAGUACUAUUAUAUUAUGUUCAUGGAAAAUGAGUUCAUGGGCUUUCCUCUAAUUUUUAUUUUAAAAAUAAAUGUAAAUAUUAAAUAAAAUUUUUUAAAUGAACAAAUGCUUCAGUCUUUAUUAAUGUUUUAACUGUCCCUGAUCUUAAUUUGAUGUACAAAUUUUAUUAGUGUAAGAGUUUCUUUGACUAAAUUCCAUCUUGGGCCGAGAACUUUCAGGAGCGGUGGCAGUCUUUUUUUUUUUUCACACAGCUUCUCCAAGCAGGCUCUCUGCCAAACUUGUCCAACCCACCUUAUUUUGUUACUGUUGUUGUUCUGUUUUGUUUUAGGCUGUUAACAGCCUGAAGCCAUGGUUUUUAGUUUCUGUUUCUAGUGAUAAGCGGAAAAGAGAGAUGAGGAGGUAUUUACUGACCCAACCAGAAGCGGAAACUAAGAACCCAUGACUGUAUUAUCUCCCUUGGACACCCCUGUGUGAGCUCUCUUUCUCCAUCUAUAAAAUGAAGGUUUGAAUGAGGUCCUGGCAACUGUGUUAAAAUACUACGUUAAAAUUAAAUUUAUAGUAAUGAGGUAAUUUAUAGGAUGCUUAGGAAUUUUUAAGAUAAAA
Molecule: long non-coding RNA, 2460 nt
Filed under: Homo sapiens (human)
Lineage: Eukaryota; Metazoa; Chordata; Mammalia; Primates; Hominidae
Description: non-protein coding RNF139-AS1:2
Source: RNAcentral